Molecule: ribosomal RNA, 253 nt
Filed under: uncultured Armatimonadota bacterium
Lineage: Bacteria; Bacillati; Armatimonadota
Description: uncultured Armatimonadetes bacterium partial 16S ribosomal RNA
Rfam family: Bacterial small subunit ribosomal RNA
Source: RNAcentral
UACGUAGGGGGCGAGCGUUGUCCGGAUUUACUGGGCGUAAAGCGCGUGUAGGCGGCUUCUUGAGUCGGGUGUGAAAGCCCGGGGCUCAACCCCGGAGUGCCGCCCGAGACUGGGAAGCUUGAGGACGGAAGAGGGGCGUGGAAUUCCUGGUGUAGCGGUGAAAUGCGUAGAGAUCAGGAGGAACACCCGUGGCGAAGGCGGCGCCCUGGUCCGUCCCUGACGCUGAGACGCGAAAGCGCGGGGAGCGAACGGG